Molecule: long non-coding RNA, 756 nt
Filed under: Mus musculus (house mouse)
Lineage: Eukaryota; Metazoa; Chordata; Mammalia; Rodentia; Muridae
Description: small nucleolar RNA host gene 14
Source: RNAcentral
AUCAAAACAAGAAGAAAAUAUUAAAAAGACAUUUUGUGCCAGGACAUCAUGGUAGUGCUGGAUUGCCUAUCCAACUCUGUAUAAAGGUUUUUCAAACAAUUUGUGAAGAAUGUUAGUAUCUUCAGAGUCUUCUGCAUCAGCAAAGAGUAGUGCAUUAACUAAUGGAAAAGAGAAGAUAAAAUUUCUGGUGCUCAUGAUGACUAGUCCGAACCUGUGAACUUCUGAGAAAAUUUACAGUUCUGAAAACUAGAGGUGGUUACCGAAUUGAAUAGCCGUUGGUUCUACAGCCACUAUAAUGAUCUGAAAAGUUGAAUGUGUUGCAUGAACACUUUCAGGAAUCAUAAUAGAACUCAGCUAAUUAGAUAGAGACUGGAAUGUUGAUUUGAAGACAAUUACUUUAUAAAGAUUUUCUCAUUGCUGCUUUUGCAUUAUCCCAAGAAGUGGAGACACUACUACAUGGAUAAGAACUGUAUGAUUGAAUUGACUUUGGAAUCAUCUCAGUAUUGUCAUAAAAUAUUCACUGUAUGUAGUCAAUUUUUUCCUCAGAGUUGAUGGUUAUAAAUACUUGUCAAGUUGGAAAAAUUCACUUUUACUUUUAUUUGCAUCACACUUACUAGAUUAGAGACUAGAUUGCUUUAAAUUGAGUCUUCAUUUACAACUUCAAGGAAUUUUCCAGUACCUGUAAUUUCUCCAUUCUUGACUCUGCCUUAAAUUCAACUAGACAGCUGGCUUUUAAGACCGACUUGAGUAUUCUGG